This 94-nucleotide transfer RNA is filed under the name Actinomadura citrea. RNAcentral describes it as "tRNA-Arg". Lineage: Bacteria; Bacillati; Actinomycetota; Actinomycetes; Streptosporangiales; Thermomonosporaceae. The record is from RNAcentral.
GCAGGAUCUGGACGGGCUGCGCGUCGCGCUCGUCCUCGGCACGAGCGCGGGCGGCGUCGGCCGCCACGUCCGGUCCGUCGCCGAGGGCCUGGUC